This 4068-nucleotide long non-coding RNA is filed under the name Salmo salar (Atlantic salmon). RNAcentral describes it as "lncRNA (ENSSSAG00000082673.1)". Lineage: Eukaryota; Metazoa; Chordata; Actinopteri; Salmoniformes; Salmonidae. The record is from RNAcentral.
AAUAGAUUAAAUAUUGAAUUUGUUUCAUCCAUCUACACACAAUACCCCCAUAAUACCAAAAACAGGUUUUUAGAAAUUGGCAAAUUUAUAAGUAUUCAGACCCUUUGCUAUGAGACUUGAAAUUGAGCUCAGGUACAUCCUGUUUCCAUUGAUCAUCCUUGAUAUUUCUACAACUUGAUUGGAGUCCAACUGUGGUAAAUUCAAGUGAUUGGACGUGAUUUGGAAAGGCACACACCUGUCUAUAUAAGGUCCCACAGUUGACAGUGCAUGUCAGAGCAAAAACCAAGCCAUGAGGUCGAAGGAAUUGUCCGUAGAGCUCCGAGACAGGAUUGUGUCAAGGCACAGUAAAGUGUACCAAAACAUUUCUGCAGCAUUGAAGGUCCAAGAACACAGUGGCCUCAAUCAUUCUCAAAUGGAAUAAGUUUGGAACCACCAACCCUUCCAAGAGCUGGCCGCCCGGCCAAACUGAGCAAUCAGAGGAGAAGGGCCUUGGUCAGGGUGGUGAACAAGAACCCAAUGGUCAUUUACAGAGCUCCAGAGUUCCUGUGGACUGGAAGACUAGUCAGGAUCGAGGGAAAGUACAGAGAUCCUUGAUGAAAAACUGUUCCAGAGCGCUCAGGACCUGAUUGGGGCGAAGGUUCACCUUCCAACAGGACAACAACCCUAAGCCCACAGCCAAGACAACACAGCAGUGACUUCAGGACAAGUCCAGGGUUCCAACACCUUCUUAAACAUCAAAUUCAAGGACUUUUCAAGGACUUUCCAGGCCCAAUUCCCUCAAAUUCAAGGACCCAACAUGGCAUAGUUUGAGACACGGAUCAAGGUUAAUUACUGUUACAACACUGAUCAUUUUUAUAAUGAGAACUAGCAGGCUUUACAGAAGCUCACAGACAACAAUUAAAAAGAGAAAGAGGCUUGAAUGUGUGAACACUUCUCAAUUGUGCUGUUACAAUGAUGGCAGACUACGUGGUCUCUUGCCUUCUCUAACACAGCAAAACAAUAUAUUGUUUAAGUUGAGCGAUAGAGACUUAUUUACGAGUUGAAGAGCUAAGUAACUCCUCGUUUAUUUAAUUAGCACCAGCUUAACACAAAACAUGUCGCAGAGCAAAAACAUGACCUUGUUUUUCCAUGAACAUGACUAAAUAAAUAGGGAAAUAAAAAACACAUGGCCAUAAAUAAAAUUAUUUGCAACAAUAAAAGAUUAGAUGAAAAUCAAAAUAAAUAUAACAUUUCUCCAACCAUUGUGUUCUGGGGUUGUUAGCCUUUUUGGUUCAAUUGCUUUCAUUUAUUUUUUAUUGCUUACUCAUUGAGUAGUGUUUUGCCCUUUCUCAAACUGUUAAAACAGUGCCCAUCCUUGCUUUUUGCUGCUAUGCCCCUUCAUUUGCUUUUCAGGUCAUUACAUUUUUCGUUGACUAGUGUUUCUAUUUCAGCGGCAAUAAGAGUGAGGUUGCCUGUGCUCGCCUCUUUGAGUGCAAAUUUGUCUGCUGAGGUCUCGAGAGCAUUUAUGUCAUCUGUCAGUCUUCUUUUCUUCCCUUUAAGUUAACCUAUUUCAUCUAUAAGGUCUUUUCUCUUUCUGUUUUUUUGCUCAUCCAUUCUUCUCCGUCUCUGUUCUUCUUGAUGUGUCACAUACCUCUGCCUUGCAGAUGCCACUGACAUAAGCGGCGGUCUGUCAAUGCACACAUUAUGUAUGCCACCCACAGCUCUUAUGUGGUCAACUAUACAUCUCUGUGCUACAUAUGAAUCUUCUUUCAAGUUCUCCACUUCAAUCUACUGAUUGAUGGAGAAUCCGCGCUCUACUGAGGCUUGCCUGUGUGACAGUAAGAGGAGUGGGAGGCAAAGUCUCCAUAGAUUUAUGAGCUCUUUGUCCUUUGACAUAUACUCAUGUAAAAAUGUGUCCAAGCUGUCUUGGACAGGAUCAAAGUUGACAAACUCUUGAGUGUUGGGCCUGGACAAUGUCAUCAAUAAAAUGUGAGUAUUGCCGAAUGAUGUCAUCACAAUCUUCUUCCUUCACCCGAUGACUAUUUACAAGGUAGGUCAGGGCCUUCUUCAGUUUUGCUGUACACAGCAUCUUUCCAUUUGUGCCUGCCAUUUCUCUUGGAUCCAAGAAAGAAAGAUGUGAGAACAGAGUACUUCAAUGGAAAUUUCUCAAUGAGUUUGUAAACAGUUGAGCAUACACUUCUUGCAAGCGAUUUUGAAGUCCAGCAAUGCUUUCUGUCCAAUUCUCUUCCCUGCGGACAAGUCUCUCACAAUUCUUUGAGUAACAAAGCCGAAGUCGACAUGUGAGGAGUCGAUGUGAUUGGAUGACUGUCUCACCUCGACAUCAAUACGUUUUUGAGGGGUCUUCGCUUCUUUCAUGAGGUCUGGCUUAAUUAAUCUGCUCAUCAAGCUCUUAAGCAGCUUGAACAAGUCUGUAGAGAGAAAUGGCACCAUGGGCUUAUCGGUCUGGUAGCGUGUGAGGAAUGGUGUCACUUCUUUGCUCACUGACAAGAUGAAAUUCAGUUUUGCUGUCAUGAGAGGGUCCUUAACAGCCUCCUGAAUCACCUCAAAGGACUUUGUGCCUGUAUUUGAACCUCUCUUCUCUACAGCCUUCACAUAUGUUGCCAUAUGGGGUAAAAACUCUAAAUCUCUUUCAAGCACGGGCCCAUUUUCAACCCACCGUGUCUUGCAAAACUUACGUGGUAUUGGGGGAAUCUGAUGAACCAAUGAUGUUAAAGUAGUCCUCCCUGCGGGCUGGAGUAUCCUUCAGAAGUUGGUACAUAGCAUGCAGUACACUGUCGACUUUCCACUCUGUCUCUUCCACUCCCUUCCGAAAUGCUCCAUGUACAAUAUGGAGACCGUAACUGCCAAUGUUUAUAAGGUGUACAUCAAAAUCUAGGAGGGACUUCUCAACCUUUAAGUAAAAUGACCAAUUUACAUUUGGUCCAUCCAUGGAGAUCUGAACCAUGUUUUUCUUUGGUAGAUCUUCGGUGCUCUUCUCAUAGACAGCUUUAAGGUCCAACGCAGUCGGACCCACAAAUGCACAAAUGUAGAAUCCUAAAAUCUCGUCACAACUUUGUCCUCAUCCCAUAAACGGACAUGAAAGUCACACUGCUUUGACUGAGUUUUUCUGUUAAGGCUCUCAUCAAAGAGAAGUACAUAGUCCUCCUCCCCAGCAAACAGUUUUUUAGACAAGUGCUUGAAAUCAGGAGCCAAGCCAUGUGUGCACAUAUAGCUGGACAUUGUUGCACCACAUGCUGAGGUCUUGGCUAUUGCACUGUCUGGGAACAUCUGAGAACAGCACACCUAAGGAGUAAAAAAAUAAUAAUAAUAAUUUUAAAUCAAACAAACACUUAUUUCUGUUUCUAGCCUGUGUGUGAAUGUGUGUUACAGAGAGAGAAUAUGAAAUAUGAAAAACAUAACAUGUUCAUAAAAAUAAUGUAAUGUUACAGGUGACAGUUUAAACAAUGCUAACGUUUCAGCUAACGUUAGCAAACUGUCAUUUAUUUCAAAUGUUCACUGUCCAGCUCUGCUUGCCGCAAGUUGGCUAACGUAACGUUAACAACUUAGCUAACGUUAGCUAGCUAGCACGAUAGGUGUGAUUGUUGGAGAAUUGAGACUUCAAGAUAACGUUAGCUAACAUAGCAAACGUUAAUUCGACCGAAUAAUUCUGUAACGUUAAAAGUUAAUUUACCCAACCACGAAGAGGCGGAAUAAUCUAGCUAACUAAUUAACGUUAGUAACUAAGUGUGGUUGUUAUAUUCCUUUCUACAUGUUACUAGGGGUAGGACAUAACCACUUUUAACUUGUGGAGUGCCGUCAUGUGACGCUCCAGCAGCAUGGCUCGUCGCAGCUGCUUCGCCCAUGGCGUGACCUUUUGAUUUGCUGCAGGCUCUGCAUCGGGCCAUAUGGAUGUCCCGCGGAUCUUUAACAAGCCAGUCUUUGUAAAUGUCUUUGGAGAGCCACGAGUCCAGGAAUUGACAUUUUCCAAGCAUAGCUUAAGGUGGCGCGUGAAACAAGAACACAAACCGCGAAAGAGACACAUACAGACAGCGGAACGUAGCCUAUUACUGACGUAAAAAACCAAAAAAA